CAGUGAAUCAUCGAAUCUUUGAACGCACCUUGCGCUCGUUGGUAUUCCGAGGAGCAUGCCUGUUUGAGUGUCAGU
RNAcentral lists this ribosomal RNA (75 nucleotides) under Rhizopogon rocabrunae. RNAcentral describes it as "partial 5.8S ribosomal RNA". It matches the Rfam family "5.8S ribosomal RNA", at positions 82 to 154 of the family's 154-position model. From Rfam's summary of the family: 5.8S ribosomal RNA (5.8S rRNA) is a component of the large subunit of the eukaryotic ribosome. It is transcribed by RNA polymerase I as part of the 45S precursor that also contains 18S and 28S rRNA. Lineage: Eukaryota; Fungi; Basidiomycota; Agaricomycetes; Boletales; Rhizopogonaceae. The record is from RNAcentral.